RNAcentral lists this ribosomal RNA (252 nucleotides) under uncultured bacterium. RNAcentral describes it as "partial 16S ribosomal RNA". It matches the Rfam family "Bacterial small subunit ribosomal RNA", at positions 524 to 776 of the family's 1533-position model. The record is from RNAcentral.
UACGUAGGGAGCGAGCGUUAUCCGGAUUUAUUGGGCGUAAAGCGUGCGUAGGCGGUUUAUUAAGUUCAAGAUUAAAGCCUGAGGCUUAACCUCAGUUCGUUUUGAAAACUGGUAGACUUGAGUAUGGUAGAGGCAAACGGAAUUUCUAGUGUAGCGGUAAAAUGCGUAGAUAUUAGAAGGAACACCAGUGGCGAAAGCGGUUUGCUGGGCCAUUACUGACGCUGAGGCACGAAAGCGUGGGGAGCAAAUAGG